Molecule: ribosomal RNA, 451 nt
Filed under: Xerocrassa meda
Lineage: Eukaryota; Metazoa; Mollusca; Gastropoda; Stylommatophora; Geomitridae
Description: partial 16S ribosomal RNA
Rfam family: Bacterial large subunit ribosomal RNA
Source: RNAcentral
CAAAAACAUAGCUAUAUGUCUUAAACAUUUAGUUGCUUCUGCUCAAUGGUAAGCUAAAUAGCCGCAGUACCCUGACUGUGCAAAGGUAGCAUAAUCAUUUGGCUUAUAAUUGAAGUCUGGCAUGAAUGAAAUUAUGGAUACUAACUGUCUCCUGUGGGUACAUAGAAUUUACUAAAUAGGUGAAAAUUCCUAUAGAUUACAAUAGACGAGAAGACCCUAGAAAUUUUAUAUAAAAGUAAUUAUUUAAUGCUUGUUAUUUUGUUGGGGCGACAGAAUAACAAUAUUUUAAACUUAUUUUAUUAUCUUGCACUCAUUUUUGUGGUAGAUUAAAUUACUCUAGGGAUAACAGCAUAAUUUAUAAAAGUUUGUGACCUCGAUGUUGGACUAGGAUUUUUAAUAAUCAGAAGUUAUUAAAAUAGGCUCUGUUCGAGCUUAGUUUCCUACGUGAUCU